Molecule: long non-coding RNA, 970 nt
Organism: Ceratitis capitata (Mediterranean fruit fly)
Lineage: Eukaryota; Metazoa; Arthropoda; Insecta; Diptera; Tephritidae
Exons: 6
Source: RefSeq, a predicted model, not a curated record
UCAAAAAAAAAAUCAUUUUCGUUUUUUAUACGGAAAUAAAGCAAAAUUUUUCUUAGUUUAAUUUCAACUUUAGCAAUUGCAUUUAAUACUCAAACAGCGCAUAGCUAAAGAACGUUUUUCCGGAAAGCUUAUAAAUUUUAUUUUCCACUUCAUGGAAAUAAAAUUCGCCUUGUUGGAUACAGCCUCCGAUUUGGUGUUGCUGGGUUUGGUUGUGAUGUUUUUGGCCACACUGUUGCAGCUGUUGAAAUUAGUCGUGGAGCAGUGGCCUUUCCUGUGUCCAAGCUUGAUUUGCCCGUAUAUAUCAACUUUUAUGAAAAUUGAUUAAGAUUUUUUUUCAGCUUCUACUGAAAGAAAAAGAACACAAUAAUCAAUAAUGGCUUUAGAGUAUUUUGCAUAUGUUUUAUCUCAAGAUGAAGAUGUAGGUACCCUUCAUCAUUGGAAAGACGUUUGUAUCGUAAGGCAGAAGAUCCUUUCCUGUUGAAUACAACUGGGGUUAUUGAUAGCCAACGAAAGGCAGAAGAAUAAUAGCAAUAUCUACAGAGAAACAGGUACCACCUAAAUACCGCAGACAGGCAAACCCAAGUUUAGGCAAACGUCACUCUAUUCAGUCUACACCAAGCAAAUUUAAUGUUAAAAAAAAAAAACCAAAUAAAUAAAGAAUAGAAAAAUGUAACACAAAAAGAAAAAAAUACAAACCAAAAAUACUGAUGGAGCCAAGAAAUUGCGAUCUUCACACAAAAUUUGGAGUCCUUUCUUUGCCACCCAGAUGCAGGAUAUAUUUGGAUGUUUGUUUAAAAUCUGAGAAUUUGAGUUUCUGAAAAUAAAUGUAUACGCUUUAAUGCAAAAUAAUGACCAGUGCACAGCGUCAGCAAAGAGAUAAAACGUAAUCGGCGGCCACGAAAAAAUUCCAAGACAAGUGAAAACCCUUUAAGACGAAAACGAAACGAAAACAAAAAGCAAAUAAAUGAAU